RNAcentral lists this ribosomal RNA (443 nucleotides) under uncultured bacterium. Its description in RNAcentral is "partial 16S ribosomal RNA". It matches the Rfam family "Bacterial small subunit ribosomal RNA", at positions 338 to 795 of the family's 1533-position model. The record is from RNAcentral.
CCUACGGGUGGCAGCAGUGGGGAAUAUUGGGCAAUGGGCGCAAGCCUGACCCAGCAACGCCGCGUGAAGGAAGAAGGCUUUCGGGUUGUAAACUUCCUUUCUUAGGGACGAAGCAAGUGACGGUACCUGAGGAAUAAGCCACGGCUAACUACGUGCCAGCAGCCGCGGUAAUACGUAGGUGGCAAGCGUUAUCCGGAUUUAUUGGGUGUAAAGGGGGUGUAGGCGGGACUGCAAGUCAGAUGUGAAAACCACGGGCUCAACCUGUGGCCUGCAUUUGAAACUGUAGUUCUUGAGUACUGGAGAGGCAGACGGAAUGCCUGGUGUAGCGGUGAAAUGCGUAGAUAUUAGGAAGAACACCAGUGGCGAAGGCAGUCUGCUGGACAGCAACUGACGCUGAGGCGCGAAAGCGUGGGGAGCAAACAGGAUUAGAUACCCGUGUAGUC